Acanthosepion pharaonis is the source of this 86-nucleotide non-coding RNA. Lineage: Eukaryota; Metazoa; Mollusca; Cephalopoda; Sepiida; Sepiidae. The record is from the annotation of a GenBank genome assembly.
UUUUCAUACAAUCCCCAAAGUUAAGCAACAUCGAGCCUGGUUCGUACUCAGAUAGGUGACCAACUGGGAAUACCAGGUGUUGUAAU